Molecule: ribosomal RNA, 263 nt
Filed under: uncultured prokaryote
Description: partial 16S ribosomal RNA
Rfam family: Bacterial small subunit ribosomal RNA
Source: RNAcentral
UACGGAGGAUCCAAGCGUUAUCCGGAUUUAUUGGGUUUAAAGGGUGCGCAGGCGGAAGAUUAAGUCGGCGGUGAAAUUUUGCAGCUAAACUGUAAAAGUAGCCAUCGAUACUGGUUUUCUUUGAGUGUGGAUGAAGUAGGCGGAAUUUGUGGUGUAGCGGUGAAAUGCAUAGAUAUCACGAGGAACUCCGAUUGCGCAGGCAGCUUACUAAACUACUACUGACGCUCAUGCACGAAGGCGUGGGGAUCAAACAGGAUUAGAUA